RNAcentral lists this ribosomal RNA (498 nucleotides) under uncultured bacterium. Its description in RNAcentral is "partial 16S ribosomal RNA". It matches the Rfam family "Bacterial small subunit ribosomal RNA", at positions 30 to 523 of the family's 1533-position model. The record is from RNAcentral.
AUUGAACGCUGGCGGCAUGCCUUACACAUGCAAGUCGAACGGUAACAGGUCUUCGGAUGCUGACGAGUGGCGAACGGGUGAGUAAUACAUCGGAACGUGCCCGAGAGUGGGGGAUAACGAGGCGAAAGCUUUGCUAAUACCGCAUACGAUCUCAGGAUGAAAGCAGGGGACCGCAAGGCCUUGCGCUCACGGAGCGGCCGAUGGCAGAUUAGGUAGUUGGUGGGAUAAAAGCUUACCAAGCCGACGAUCUGUAGCUGGUCUGAGAGGACGACCAGCCACACUGGGACUGAGACACGGCCCAGACUCCUACGGGAGGCAGCAGUGGGGAAUUUUGGACAAUGGGCGCAAGCCUGAUCCAGCCAUGCCGCGUGCAGGAUGAAGGCCUUCGGGUUGUAAACUGCUUUUGUACGGAACGAAAAGACUCUGGUUAAUACCUGGGGUCCAUGACGGUACCGUAAGAAUAAGCACCGGCUAACUACGUGCCAGCCGCCGCGGUAA